RNAcentral lists this ribosomal RNA (390 nucleotides) under uncultured bacterium. Its description in RNAcentral is "bacterial SSU rRNA". It matches the Rfam family "Bacterial small subunit ribosomal RNA", at positions 28 to 402 of the family's 1533-position model. The record is from RNAcentral.
GAUGAACGCUGGCGGCGUGCUUAACACAUGCAAGUCGAACGAAGCACUUAUCUUUGAUUCUUCGGAUGAAGAGGUUUGUGACUGAGUGGCGGACGGGUGAGUAACGCGUGGGUAACCUGCCUCAUACAGGGGGAUAACAGUUAGAAAUGACUGCUAAUACCGCAUAAGACCACAGAGCUGCAUGGCUCAGUGGGAAAAACUCCGGUGGUAUGAGAUGGACCCGCGUCUGAUUAGGUAGUUGGUGGGGUAACGGCCUACCAAGCCAACGAUCAGUAGCCGACCUGAGAGGGUGACCGGCCGACAUUGGGACUGAGACACGGGCCCAAACUCUACGGGAGCAGCAGUGGGAAUAUUGCACAAUGGGGAAACCCUGAUGCAGCGACGCCGCGU